AGACGUGUGUUUAUAAAUUGUGGUAAUUCUCAUCCUAUAAAUUAAUUUUGUAAGAUUGAGUUAGAUCCAACCAUCAUUAAAAAAAUAAGAGAAAAAGAAAAUAGAAAAAAAAAUCAUGAAUGUUUUGACAAUGUGUGAAUGCAAAUCAAUGAUGAUCAAAUAAAGAAAACUAAAAGAAGUGUAUGGUUUUGGGAAACAAGGGCAUGUGAUGAGAUACAUGGAAAGGUGAGACGCAGUAAAGGAUGAAUCAAAAGUGAUUUUAGAAAGCAAUAAAAAAAUGG
This 281-nucleotide long non-coding RNA is filed under the name Lathyrus oleraceus (garden pea). Its description in RNAcentral is "Pisum sativum (pea) long non-coding RNA (PSAT_LNC009929)". Lineage: Eukaryota; Viridiplantae; Streptophyta; Magnoliopsida; Fabales; Fabaceae. The record is from RNAcentral.